AUUGAACGCUAGCGGAAUGCUUUACACAUGCAAGUCGGACGGCAGCAACAAGAAGCUUGCUUCUUGGGUGGCGAGUGGCGAACGGGUGAGUAAUGUAUCGGAACGUAUCCAAUAGUGGGGGAUAACUACGCGAAAGCGUAGCUAAUACCGCAUACGUCCUACGGGAGAAAGCAGGGGACCUUCGGGCCUUGCGCUAAUGGAGCGGCCGAUAACGGAUUAGCUAGUUGGUGGGGUAAGGGCCUACCAAGGCGACGAUCCGUAGCUGGUUUGAGAGGACGACCAGCCACACUGGGACUGAGACACGGCCCAGACUCCUACGGGAGGCAGCAGUGGGGAAUUUUGGACAAUGGGGGCAACCCUGAUCCAGCCAUUUCGCGUGUGUGAAGAAGGCCUUCGGGUUGUAAAGCACUUUUGCCAGGGAAGAAAAGGGACUGACUAAUAAUUGGUUCUGCUGACGGUACCUGGAGAAUAAGCACCGGCAAACUACGUGCCAGCAGCCGCGGUAAUACGUAGGGUGCGAGCGUUAAUCGGAAUUACUGGGCGUAAAGGGUACGCAGGCGGCAUGGCAAGAAGGAUGUGAAAUCCCAGGGCUCAACCUUGGAACUGCAUUCUUAACUGCCAAGCUAGAGUAGGUCAGAGGGGGGUAGAAUUCCACGUGUAGCAGUGAAAUGCGUAGAGAUGUGGAGGAAUACCGAUGGCGAAGCAGCCCCCUGGGAUCAUACUGACGCUCAUGUACGAAAGCGUGGGGAGCAAACAGG
RNAcentral lists this ribosomal RNA (758 nucleotides) under uncultured bacterium. Its description in RNAcentral is "bacterial SSU rRNA". It matches the Rfam family "Bacterial small subunit ribosomal RNA", at positions 28 to 776 of the family's 1533-position model. The record is from RNAcentral.